Molecule: non-coding RNA, 544 nt
Organism: Leptonychotes weddellii (Weddell seal)
Lineage: Eukaryota; Metazoa; Chordata; Mammalia; Carnivora; Phocidae
Source: RefSeq, a predicted model, not a curated record
CUGGCGUCCGCAAGAGCUCCUCUCCGGAUCCGGUCUGGGUGGCGCGGACCAGGCCUGGGACGGCAGCGGCGGUGCCGUCCGUGGUGGCUGUGGCGCGAGGCAGUAUGACUUGAGGCCGUGACCAUGGAUUUUUCCCGGCUUCACAUGUACACCCCUCCUCAGUGCGUGCCCGAGAACACUGGCUAUACCUAUGCACUCAGCGCGGACGCCGAGAGCAGAGUCUGUCGAGGAGGGUCCCGUGCUGCCGGAAGGCCACGCCAGCGACGGGACUGGCCCAUCGCCGCUGAAUCCAGCACCGUGGGAGUCUGUGCACAGAGGCAGCCUGAAUGCGGCAGUGGGGGCAGGAGUUGGAAUGAAAUGCGUCGAGGAGUGAGUGUGGACAACUUUUUCAACCAGUGGGCCUGGUCAGGGGAGGAGAAAGGACCCGGCUCUCUUCACAUUUUGUUCCCCUCCCCCCCCGCACCAUGGGGACAGAUGAGAGUGUGUCUAGAUGCUGAUGGUUGGGAGCCACAGAGAGGUUGAAGGGGAGGGAAGAGGCACUAGA